Callithrix jacchus (white-tufted-ear marmoset) is the source of this 107-nucleotide small nuclear RNA. The record is from Ensembl. NCBI's taxonomy places the organism in Eukaryota, Metazoa, Chordata, Mammalia, Primates, Cebidae.
GUGCUCACUUUGGCAGCACAUAUACUAAAAUUGGAACAAUACAGAGAAGAUUAGUAUGGCCUCUGCACAAGCAUGACAUGCAAAUUUUUGAAUUAUUCCAUAUUAAA